CCAAUAUCGCGUAGAACAUGGAUCCCUCUCC
This 31-nucleotide small RNA is filed under the name Sinorhizobium meliloti 2011. Its description in RNAcentral is "putative ncRNA". Lineage: Bacteria; Pseudomonadati; Pseudomonadota; Alphaproteobacteria; Hyphomicrobiales; Rhizobiaceae. The record is from RNAcentral.